CGAACUUCUAAACUUCGUUGGACUGUUCUAGAAUCUACAUUUUAAAAUUACAAAAGUUCUUUUCUAGACACUUUCAAAUUUAAUUCCCGCAAAUGUCUGUGUUGUUUCUUUUAUGAGAUAUUGCGGUAUCGUAGUUUCGCCUCCCUAAAGCUGGUAUUCGAUGAUACAAAAAUUAGUGCGGAAUAAACUUUUACAUUAUAGUUCUUAUAUUUCCUGGUCCUAACUUUAAAUGUCCUUUACACUGGCCAAUGUUGUUAUAUCCUCCUCUUACACAGAAGCUCGCUAUCUUAGGAGGUAUCUCCAAGAUAGAUUUUCUCGGGGUGUCUAUUUGUUUAUCAUUAACCACUCGGGCUUCUCUCUGCCCUUUGAAAAUCUGGAUAUUUUCCGCUGUGUACAGUUCUUCCAGGUUAUGUAUUGUUUUAAUUAUUUUUCCUUCUUCCCAUUUGACAUUGAUGUUCCUCAUAUGUUUUUCUGGCUAGCACUGUAUUUAGAUUA
Molecule: long non-coding RNA, 495 nt
Filed under: Androctonus crassicauda
Lineage: Eukaryota; Metazoa; Arthropoda; Arachnida; Scorpiones; Buthidae
Source: RNAcentral